Molecule: ribosomal RNA, 460 nt
Filed under: uncultured bacterium
Lineage: Bacteria
Description: partial 16S ribosomal RNA
Rfam family: Bacterial small subunit ribosomal RNA
Source: RNAcentral
CCUACGGGUGGCAGCAGUGAGGAAUAUUGGUCAAUGGACGAGAGUCUGAACCAGCCAAGUAGCGUGAAGGAAGACUGCCCUAUGGGUUGUAAACUUCUUUUAUAAAGGGAUAAAACGAGGUACGUGUGCCUUUUUGCAAGUACCUUAUGAAUAAGGAUCGGCUAACUCCGUGCCAGCAGCCGCGGUAAUACGGAGGAUCCGAGCGUUAUCCGGAUUUAUUGGGUUUAAAGGGAGCGUAGGUGGGUUGUUAAGUUAGUUGGGAAAGUCGGGGGCUCAACCGUUAAAUUGCAUGUGAUACUGGCAGUCUAGAGUGUAGUUGAGGUAGGCGGAAUGCGUGGUGUAGCGGUGAAAUGCUUAGAUAUCACGCAGAACCCCGAUUGCGAAGGCAGCUUACUAAGCUAUUACUGACGUUGAGGCACGAAAGUGUGGGUAUCAAACAGGAUUAGAUACCCUUGUAGUC